GACGAACGCUGGUGGCGUGCUUAACACAUGCAAGUCGAACGGUGAAGCGCCUUCCUUUUUGGUGGGUGUGGAUGAGUGGCGAACGGGUGAGUAACACGUGAGUAACCUGCCCCCUUCUUCUGGAUAACCGCAUGAAAGUGUGGCUAAUACGGGAUAUUCUGGGUCUGUCGCAUGAUGGGUCUGGGAAAGAUAUUGUUUCGGUGGGGGAUGGGCUCGCGGCCUAUCAGCUUGUUGGUGGGGUGAUGGCCUACCAAGGCGGUGACGGGUAGCCGGCCUGAGAGGGUGGACGGUCACACUGGGACUGAGACACGGCCCAGACUCCUACGGGAGGCAGCAGUGGGGAAUAUUGCACAAUGGGCGCAAGCCUGAUGCAGCGACGCCGCGUGAGGGAUGGAGGCCUUCGGGUUGUGAACCUCUUUCGCCAGUGAAGCAGGCCUGCCUCGUUUGUGGGUGGGUUGACGGUAGCUGGAGAAGAAGCGCCGGCUAACUACGUG
This 494-nucleotide ribosomal RNA is filed under the name uncultured bacterium. RNAcentral describes it as "partial 16S ribosomal RNA". It matches the Rfam family "Bacterial small subunit ribosomal RNA", at positions 28 to 507 of the family's 1533-position model. The record is from RNAcentral.